CUAAAUUGUUUAAAAAAUUAAAAAAAUAUAAAAUAAGGUUUUUUAAUUUUAGGAAAAAAAAAAACUCAAAAGUAUUGAUGUCAAUAUAUAUUUUUUUAAUAUUUAUACAAUUUUCACUUGCUGUUGAUAUUUAUUAUUUUUGUUUUGUUUUUUUUUUAAAUGGUGUAUUUAAAGCUUCAAUUUUUUAUAAGGUAAAUGAAAAAAAUAUAUUUUCAAAAAAAAAAAAAAAAAAAAUAUAAUUAUUUUAUUUUCAUGGCUUUAACUGAAUUAAUUGUUCCUUUUUUUUUUUUUUUUUUUUUUUAUAUUCUUAAAAUUUUCAAAAACAGUACAACAUAACAAUAUAUGCAUCCCUUAAUAUUUAUUAAACAAUAGAUCGUACAUAAUAUAUCAUACACAUUGUAUCGUACGUGUUGUACAUGUUAUAUCGUACAUAUUGCGUCAUACACAUUGCGUAAUACACAUUGUGUUGUACACAUUGUGUUGUACACAUUGUGUCGUAUAUGCUAUAUCGCACAUUUUAUAUCAUAAAUAUUAUAUUGUACAUGUUAUAUUCGACAUGUGGUAUCGCACAUCUCAGAUAUUAUUAUUUAUUACAUACCAUUUAUUACAUACCAUUUAUUACAUACCAUUUAUUACUUACUAUUUAUCACUUACAAUUUAUUAUUUACCACUUAUUACUUACCACUUAUCACUUACCACUCAUUAUUUACCAUUUAUUACUUAAUAUUUAUCACUUAUAUUUUAUUACAUAUUAUUUCGUACAUAAAAAAGUUACUACAUUAUAUGGUGCAUAUAAUGUCUUAUAUUCUACACCAUAUACGUUCAUCUGAGUCUGAAUAUUGCGGAAAACAUGAUAAACGCAUAAGCUUCGUUGAAAUGCUAAUGCUAAAUAAUUUAGCAUAUUCUAAUAGUAAUAUAUAUAAAGAUAAACAAAAGUUAUGUCUUAAAAAUUUAGAUAAAGAAAUAAGAUACAAUUUUUUUUGUAAUUUAAAAAAUAUAUACAGUAUCAAAGAUAAUUACUUUAUGAAAGAAUUAGAACAAUUUUAUAUGUUCUUUAAUUCUAAAUAUAAUUUUUUUUUAAAAAGAAAAGAGGCAAACUUAUGCAUUAAAGAAUUUAAUUCUAUAUUUGAUAAACACUUGUAUGCAAACUGCAAUUUUUGCUCAUUUCCUAAAUUUGGGAAUUUAAGAGCCAUUAAAAAUUGUGACAAAGGCACACACGAAGAAAAUUGUAAAAGCAACUGCGCAAGCAGUAAUCUACUGAUUAAUGAAGAUGCCUGUCACGAAAAACAAAACACAACUAUCAUUUAUACAUCUUCUUCAAACGAAACCAAGUGCAAUUUACAAAGUGAUAAAAAACUUGCUUCAGCUUAUAAAGCAUUUCAAUGUAAUAAGAAAAUUGAUUUAUAUAAAAGGAAAAAGNNNNNNNNNNNNNNNNNNNNNNNNNNNNNNNNNNNNNNNNNNNNNNNNNNNNNNNNNNNNNNNNNNNNNNNNNNNNNNNNNNNNNNNNNNNNNNNNNNNNAAAAAAUGCACAUUGAAUAGCAAUUGCAAUGCUGAUAAUACAGCAAUGUGUCAUGAAAAUAAUAGCCUAUUAAAAUUAACCCAAAGUGAGUGUAAUAAAUUACCAAUUGAGGAACAACUAACAUUAUCAAAAAAAUUAAAUUUAGAUCAUUACUACAAUAAAAAAAAAAUUGAUUUAUUAUUUUUAUUAGAUAAUUUCAAUAAAUAUACAAAUAUACGCGUAUUAAAAAAUGAUGACAGUUGCUUUAUUAACGACGAUUUAGAUAACAGGUCAACCAUGUCAGAACAUAUAGAAUAUAAUGUAAUAAACACAAUAUCAAAUAAAAAAAAUGUUAAUAUUUUUUCUUAUGAUGAUAUUGAUAUAUAUAAAAUAAAGAAUAGGAAAAGAAAAAAAAGCGAAAGAAACUACUUAUGUAAAAAAAAAGUAGUUACUUUUUUUAGUAAGUGUAAUAAUUUAUGUCAUACAACCUUUAAGAAAGAGCAAAAUUUUUAUAAGAUAAAACCUAAAUUUAAUACUAAAUGUGCUAUAAAUAAAAAUAAAAAAAUUCCACUUGAUGAUAUAAAAUAUUUGUAUAAAGAAGAAGAUGUUAGCAAAAAAAAUAAGCUUUUGUUACCGAUAAAAGACAUAAAGCAUAUUGUAAAAAGUAAAAAAAAAAAUUCUUGUAUUAAUAAUUUACAAGAUACAACAUCAUUGGAAAACUAUAGGAAUAACCAAUUUUUUAAUAAUUAUAGCCCAUCUUUUAUAUUUAAAAACAUUUUUAACAAACAGAAUAAUAGACUACAUCAAAACCAAAAUAGUUCAAAACGAUAUAAAAAUAAUAUAAAAUGUUUAAUGAACAAGUACGACCUUUUUAUUGACACUCAUAAAACCUGUAACCUAAUUUAUAAUGAAAAAAAAAUAAACCGCUGUGCUUUUUUAUCUAAUCAUGAGGUUAAUCGUUUUUAUUCUUUACAAAGUUUUACCAAUUAUAUAGACCAAAAAGAUAAAAUAAAAGAUAUGGGAAAAACGACAAAAAUAGACCAAACCAAUGAUUAUAAAACCGAAUAUAUAAAAGAAAAAAACAUGUAUUCUACCAUAAAUAUUUUUAAUAAACAAAAAAAACUAUUUAGAAAUGAAAACACUAAUAAAAUAAGUUUUUCAUCGAAUUAUAUAAAAAAUAAAAAUAAUCAUACAAAUUUAGAAUUUACAAGGAACAACAUUUUUCAAAACGAUAUAACUAACCAAUUAUCAACUAAAAAUAAAGUUUCAUAUAGUAAUACUUCCAAUCCAACAAAAGAAAGUAGCAGUAACAGAUAUAACUACUUAAAAAAAAAUAGGGAAGUUUUAAAUGAAAAUCAAACUACAAAUACAAAAAAAAUAUAUAGUGACAUUGGUAUAGUACCAUAUAAUAAAGAAAGGGCUGAUUGUAUAAUGAGCAAUAAUAUAUACAACUUACAUUUGAAUGCUAAUAAUGGUAAUGACAGUAAUGGUAAUGCUAAUGGUAAUGGUAAUGCUAAUGGUAAUGGUAAUGCUAAUGGUAAUGGUAAUGCUAAUGGUAAUGCUAAUGGUAAUGCUAAUGCUAAUGCUAAUGGUAAUGCUAAUGGUAAUGCUAAUGCUAAUGGUAAUGCUAAUGCUAAUGGUAAUGGUAAUGCUAAUGCUAAUGGUAAUGCUAAUGCUAAUGGUAAUGCUAAUGCUAAUGGUAAUGCUAAUGCUAAUGGUAAUGCUAAUGCUAAUGCUAAUGGUAAUGCUAAUGCUAAUGCUAAUGCUAAUGCUAAUGCUAAUGCUAAUGAUAGUGAUGGUAAUGAAAACUUAAUAAAUAUAUGUACUUCAAAAAAAAAUGACGAUAAAAAAGGUAAUAUAAAUACAUAUUUAACAAAAAAUAUCACUUAUAACAGUAACGACUUAGAUAUAAAACAAAAAAAAACAAACAGUUUUAGCGCAUUGAACAACACAAAUAUUAAUGGAGAAAUUAAUACAACUACUUUAACGCAUGAUGAAAUUUAUAGAAAAAAAAAAAAAAAAAUUGCUGUAAAAGUAAAGCUAUUUUGGAGUAAAAGAAGAACUUUUUUUGAGCACAAAAUUUUGAAAAAAAUGACAACUAAAAAAAUUAAAAAAUAUUAUACGAAAAAUCAUUUGAAAAAAAAAAUACAUACAAGUUGUUAUGUAGAUAAAACAAAUUUAAAUAAAUAUUCUGGAUCUUUCCAUAACAAUCAUAUCGGUCUUUCUAGUUUUUUCAAUUGUGAAAUUAAUAAAAAAUCAUGUACUAAUUAUUAUGAUGCUAACUCACGUGAAGACAGCGUUUUGAAAAUUAUGAACCCUUGCGAAAAACUGGAAAAUUAUCAUAAAAUGAUAAAUAAUAUCCAUAAUACAAAUAAAAAUAGUGAAGUGAAUAUGGGGGUAAAAUCCUUACAAAACGAGUGCAACUAUAAAAAUGUUGUAUAUUUACAUAAUAAAAUACUUAAUGGAACUGUUCAAAAUCAUAUAAAACAUUUUAAUAACAACAAUUUAUAUAUUAUGCAAAAUAAAAUAGAAAACAAAAUCGAAAAUAAUCUAAAUGGAUGUCUAAAUACAAGUUUAUUUAACAAUGGAAAUUAUCUUAUGAAUAAAAAAGAAAACAAUGGGAAUAACUGUUUACAUGAUAUACAUAAUUUAUGUAAUAUGGUUUAUAAAAAUUCUCAAAAUAUAAAUAACAAAAUUAAUAUACUUACAGAUAAAUGUAUUAAAAAUAACAAUGAAACCAUUCAAGCUUAUAUCGUAAAUACUGAUAUCAAUCGCCAAUUUUCAAUGACAAACGACUCAUACCAAAACCAAUGUCAUAAUGAUAAUUAUCUUACUAAAAAUAUUUAUCCUAUACCAAGCCUGAACCCUAAUUCAACUCUAAGUUCAAGCUCAACAAAUUUAAAGCUUAAUUCAACUCUAGAUUCAAGCACAACAAAUUUGAACCCUAAUUCAACCCUAGGUUCUAGUUCAAUAGUUUUGAACCCUAAUUCAACCCUAGGUUCUAAUUCAAUAGUUUUGAAUCCUAAUUCAACCCUAGGUUCUAAUUCAAUAGUUUUGAACCCUAAUUCNNNNNNNNNNCCUAAUUCAACCCUAGGUUCUAAUUCAAUAGUUUUGAACCCUAAUUCAACCCUAGGUUCUAAUUCAAUAGCUUUGAACUCUAAUUCAACCCUAGGUUCUAAUUCAAUAGUUUUGAACCCUAGUUCAACUGUAAGUUCUAGCUCAACACAUUUGAAUCAUAAUUCAACCAUAAGUUCUAGUUCAACAAGUUUGAACCCUAAUUCAAUUCUUAAUACAUAUACAAACAAUUGCUAUCAAUUAUCAAAUGAUAAUAAAAGUAAUUGCAAGUUAAUAGAUGAAAAUCAUGCCA
Molecule: long non-coding RNA, 4865 nt
Organism: Piliocolobus tephrosceles (Ugandan red Colobus)
Lineage: Eukaryota; Metazoa; Chordata; Mammalia; Primates; Cercopithecidae
Source: Ensembl